This 305-nucleotide ribosomal RNA is filed under the name uncultured bacterium. Its description in RNAcentral is "bacterial SSU rRNA". It matches the Rfam family "Bacterial small subunit ribosomal RNA", at positions 331 to 654 of the family's 1533-position model. The record is from RNAcentral.
UUCAACCUACGGGAGGCAGCAGUGGGGGAUAUUGCACAAUGGGGGGAACCCUGAUGCAGCGACGCCGCGUGGGUGAAGGAGCGUUUCGGCGCGUAAAGCCCUAUCGGCAGGGAAGAAGGAGGACGGUACCUGACUAAGAAGCCCCGGCUAACUACGUGCCAGCAGCCGCGGUAAUACGUAGGGGGCAAGCGUUAUCCGGAUUCACUGGGUGUAAAGGGAGCGUAGACGGCCAUGCAAGCCUGGAGUGAAAGCCCGGGGCCCAACCCCGGGCCUGCUCUGGGAACUGUGCGGCUGGAGUGCGGGAG